This 467-nucleotide ribosomal RNA is filed under the name uncultured bacterium. RNAcentral's name for it is "partial 16S ribosomal RNA". It matches the Rfam family "Bacterial small subunit ribosomal RNA", at positions 28 to 506 of the family's 1533-position model. The record is from RNAcentral.
GACGAACGCUGGCGGCGUGCUUAACACAUGCAAGUCGAACGGAAAGGCCCUGCUUUUGUGGGGUGCUCGAGUGGCGAACGGGUGAGUAACACGUGAGUAACCUGCCCUUGACUUUGGGAUAACUUCAGGAAACUGGGGCUAAUACCGGAUAGGAGCUCCUGCUGCAUGGUGGGGGUUGGAAAGUUUCGGCGGUUGGGGAUGGACUCGCGGCUUAUCAGCUUGUUGGUGGGGUAGUGGCUUACCAAGGCUUUGACGGGUAGCCGGCCUGAGAGGGUGACCGGCCACAUUGGGACUGAGAUACGGCCCAGACUCCUACGGGAGGAAGCAGGGGGGAAUAUUGCACAAUGGGCGGAAGCCUGAUGCAGCAACGCCGCGUGCGGGAUGACGGCCUUCGGGUUGUAAACCGCUUUCGCCGGUGACGAAGCGUGAGUGACGGUAAUGGGUAAAGAAGCACCGGCUAACUACGU